RNAcentral lists this ribosomal RNA (135 nucleotides) under Pseudomonas sp. BBP2017. RNAcentral's name for it is "partial 16S ribosomal RNA". The stretch from base 41 to 135 matches the Rfam family "Bacterial small subunit ribosomal RNA", at positions 1 to 94 of the family's 1533-position model. The record is from RNAcentral. Lineage: Bacteria; Pseudomonadati; Pseudomonadota; Gammaproteobacteria; Pseudomonadales; Pseudomonadaceae.
UGAGCCAAGUUUAGGGUUUUCUCAAAACCCAAGCAGUAUUGAACUGAAGAGUUUGAUCAUGGCUCAGAUUGAACGCUGGCGGCAGGCCUAACACAUGCAAGUCGAGCGGAUGAGAAGAGCUUGCUCUUCGAUUCA